AGUGAACGCUGGCGGUAGGCCUAACACAUGCAAGUCGAACGGCAGCACAGUAAGAGCUUGCUCUUACGGGUGGCGAGUGGCGGACGGGUGAGGAAUACAUCGGAAUCUACUUUUUCGUGGGGGAUAACGUAGGGAAACUUACGCUAAUACCGCAUACGACCUACGGGCGAAAGCAGGGGAUCUUCGGACCUUGCGCGAUUGAAUGAGCCGAUGUCGGAUUAGCUAGUUGGCGGGGUAAAGGCCCACCAAGGCAACGAUCCGUAGCUGGUCUGAGAGGAUGAUCAGCCACACUGGAACUGAGACACGGUCCAGACUCCUACGGGAGGCAGCAGUGGGGAAUAUUGGACAAUGGGCGCAAGCCUGAUCCAGCCAUACCGCGUGGGUGAAGAAGGCCUUCGGGUUGUAAAGCCCUUUUGUUGGGAAAGAAAAGCAGCAGGUUAAUACCCCGCUGUUCUGACGGUACCCAAAGAAUAAGCACCGGCUAACUUCGUG
This 492-nucleotide ribosomal RNA is filed under the name uncultured bacterium. RNAcentral's name for it is "partial 16S ribosomal RNA". It matches the Rfam family "Bacterial small subunit ribosomal RNA", at positions 29 to 507 of the family's 1533-position model. The record is from RNAcentral.